This 449-nucleotide ribosomal RNA is filed under the name uncultured bacterium. Its description in RNAcentral is "partial 16S ribosomal RNA". It matches the Rfam family "Bacterial small subunit ribosomal RNA", at positions 339 to 795 of the family's 1533-position model. The record is from RNAcentral.
CUACGGGUCGCUGCAGUCGAGAAUCUUCCGCAAUGGGCGCAAGCCUGACGAAGCGACGCCGCGUGCGGGAUGAAGGCCUUCGGGUUGUAAACCGCUGUCAGUGGGGAGGAAAUCACUUCGGUGUUGACCGAUCCGCAGAGGAAGCGCAGGCUAAGUUCGUGCCAGCAGCCGCGGUAACACGAACUGCGCGAACGUUAUUCGGAAUUACUGGGCUUAAAGAGUUCGUAGGCGGCCCGGUUAGUCGGGUGUGAAAUCCCACGGCCCAACCGUGGAAUUGCGCUCGAUACUGUCGGGCUAGAGAGAGUCAGAGGUGAGCGGAACUGAUGGUGGAGCGGUGAAAUGCGUUGAUAUCAUCAGGAACACCGGUGGCGAAAGCGGCUCACUGGGGCUCUACUGACGCUGAGGAACGAAAGCUAGGGGAGCGAACGGGAUUAGAUACCCGCGUAGUC